GACGAACGCUGGCGGCGUGCUUAACACAUGCAAGUCGAACGGAAAGGCCCUGCUUUUGUGGUCUGCUCGAGUGGCGAACGUGUGAGUAACACGUGAUUAACCUGCCCUUGACUUUGGGAUAACUUCAGGAAACUGGUGCUAAUACCUGAUAGGAGCUCCUGCUGCAUGGUGUGGGUUGGAAAGUUUCGGCGGGUGGGGAUGGACGCGCGGCUUAUCAGCUUGUUGGUGGUGUAGUGGCUUACCAAGGCUUUGACGGGUAGCCGGCCUGAGAGGGUGACCGGCCACAUUGGGACUGAGAUACGGCCCAGACUCCUACGGGAGGCAGCAGUGGGGAAUAUUGCACAAUGGGCGGAAGCCUGAUGCAGCAACGCCGCGUGCGGGAUGACGGCCUUCGGGUUGUAAACCGCUUUCGCCUGUGACGAAGCGUGAGUGACGGUAAUGGGUAAAGAAGCACCGGCUAACUACGUG
Molecule: ribosomal RNA, 468 nt
Filed under: uncultured bacterium
Lineage: Bacteria
Description: partial 16S ribosomal RNA
Rfam family: Bacterial small subunit ribosomal RNA
Source: RNAcentral